RNAcentral lists this ribosomal RNA (465 nucleotides) under uncultured bacterium. RNAcentral's name for it is "partial 16S ribosomal RNA". It matches the Rfam family "Bacterial small subunit ribosomal RNA", at positions 28 to 507 of the family's 1533-position model. The record is from RNAcentral.
GACGAACGCUGGCGGCGUGCUUAACACAUGCAAGUCGAACGGAAAGGCCCCAGCUUGCUGGGGUACUCGAGUGGCGAACGGGUGAGUAACACGUGGGUGAUCUGCCCUGCACUCUGGGAUAAGCCUGGGAAACUGGGUCUAAUACCGGAUAGGACCGUGCUUUAGUGUGUGCGGUGGAAAGUUUUUCGGUGCAGGAUGAGCCCGCGGCCUAUCAGCUUGUUGGUGGGGUAAUGGCCUACCAAGGCGGCGACGGGUAGCCGGCCUGAGAGGGUGUACGGCCACAUUGGGAUUGAGACACGGCCCAGACUCCUACGGGAGGCAGCAGUGGGGAAUAUUGCACAAUGGGCGCAAGCCUGAUGCAGCGACGCCGCGUGGGGGAUGACGGCCUUCGGGUUGUAAACCCCUUUCGGCAGGGACGAAGCUUUUGUGACGGUACCUGCAUAAGAAGCACCGGCUAACUACGUG